CAAGCAGUUAUGUAUAAAACGGUCUCAACUC
Molecule: non-coding RNA, 31 nt
Filed under: Mus musculus (house mouse)
Lineage: Eukaryota; Metazoa; Chordata; Mammalia; Rodentia; Muridae
Source: RNAcentral